UGGCGUGGGAGUUUCGUCGCUGCCUCCCCUACGGGGAGGGAGAGGAAAGUCCGAGCAACACAGAGCACCGUGCUUUCUAACGGAAAGUUGUCGGCGACGGCAAGGUUAAAGGUAACAGAAAAUAACCGCCCGCAAGGGUAAGGGUGAAAAGGCGGGGUAAGAGCCCACCGCCCGUGUGGCAACACAUUGGGGACAGUACUACCGACGGGUUGCAAGUUCAAGUAUAUCGACAGUAUGUAGGGUUGCUCGCCCGAUGUCGAGGGGUAGAACGCUUUAGCCUGUGCGAGAGCACAGCGCAUAGAUUAAUGACGAAGGCUGCUCCGCCGAGGGAGUGUUGUGCGCAACGCACCCGAGGGGGAUCAAGCAGUACAGAACUCGGCUUAUAUCCCACGCCAGACU
This 399-nucleotide RNase P RNA is filed under the name Tidjanibacter sp. RNAcentral describes it as "RNase P RNA component class A". It matches the Rfam family "Bacterial RNase P class A". From Rfam's summary of the family: Ribonuclease P (RNase P) is a ubiquitous endoribonuclease, found in archaea, bacteria and eukarya as well as chloroplasts and mitochondria. Lineage: Bacteria; Pseudomonadati; Bacteroidota; Bacteroidia; Bacteroidales; Rikenellaceae. The record is from RNAcentral.